Non-coding RNA from Pelobates cultripes (western spadefoot toad), 372 nucleotides. The record is from the annotation of a GenBank genome assembly. NCBI's taxonomy places the organism in Eukaryota, Metazoa, Chordata, Amphibia, Anura, Pelobatidae.
CUUCUCCCAGUGAUGCCGGAGCCAGAAUAUGACGUCACUCCGGUUCCGGCAUCAGUAAAUAGCAUGCGAGGGAGCUGAACAGGAGGAUCAGUGCUCCCUUGCCACCUGCAGGACCGGCUGCCCAGGAGCCAACUGGACCCCAGAGAAAUCAGGAAUCUCUUCAGCACUGCCAAAGGUAGGGAGGCUGGGGGAUUUUAAAAAAAAUUAAAAAAAUUCAGUGUGUAUGUGUGUUAGUGUUAGAGUGUGUGUGUCACUGUGUGUGUCUGUUACUGUGUGUGUUAUUGAGUUUGUGUCUGCUAGUGACUGUCAGUGUGUGUGUUAGUUUGUGUGUCAGUGAGUGUGUGUGUCAGUGAGUGUGUUACUGUCUGUGUC